GGGGUUGUAGCAUAAGCCGGUAGUGUCUUCGGCUCCAGACCGAAGGAUCAGGGUUCAAAUCCCUGCAGCCCCA
This 73-nucleotide transfer RNA is filed under the name Candidatus Woesearchaeota archaeon. RNAcentral describes it as "tRNA-Trp". It matches the Rfam family "tRNA". From Rfam's summary of the family: Transfer RNA (tRNA) molecules are approximately 80 nucleotides in length. Their secondary structure includes four short double-helical elements and three loops (D, anti-codon, and T loops). Further hydrogen bonds mediate the characteristic L-shaped molecular structure. tRNAs have two regions of fundamental functional importance: the anti-codon, which is responsible for specific mRNA codon recognition, and the 3' end, to which the tRNAs corresponding amino acid is attached (by aminoacyl-tRNA synthetases). tRNAs cope with the degeneracy of the genetic code in two manners: having more than one tRNA (with a specific anti-codon) for a particular amino acid; and 'wobble' base-pairing, i.e. permitting non-standard base-pairing at the 3rd anti-codon position. The record is from RNAcentral. Lineage: Archaea; Nanobdellati; Candidatus Woesearchaeota.